AUUGAACGCUGGCGGCAGGCCUAACACAUGCGAGUCGAGCGGCUGCAGGGAGCUUGCUCCUGGAUUCAGCGCCGGACGCGUGCGUAAUGCCUAUACAUCUGCCUGGUCGUGGGGGAUGACGUCCGGGUACGGGCGCUUAUACCGCUUCCGCCCUGGGCGUGCAAGUGAGGGCUCGUCGCAUUCCACGCUAUCAGGUGAGCCUAGGUCGGAUUAGCUAGUUGGUGGGGUAAAGGCCUACCAAGGCGACGAUCCGUAACUGGUCUGAGAGGAUGAUCAGUCACACUGGAACUGAGACACGGUCCAGACUCCUACGGGAGGCAGCAGUGGGGAAUAUUGGACAAUGGGCGAAAGCCUGAUCCAGCCAUGCCGCGUGUGUGAAGAAGGUCUUCGGAUUGUAAAGCACUUUUAGUUGGGAGGAAGGGCAGUAAGUUAAUACCUUGCUGUUUUGACGGUACCAACAGAAUAAGCACCGGCUAACUUCGUG
RNAcentral lists this ribosomal RNA (484 nucleotides) under uncultured bacterium. RNAcentral describes it as "partial 16S ribosomal RNA". It matches the Rfam family "Bacterial small subunit ribosomal RNA", at positions 30 to 507 of the family's 1533-position model. The record is from RNAcentral.